AACGCGAAGAACCUUACCUACCCUUGACAUCCUGCGAAGCCCGGUGAGAUCUGGGUGUGCCGAAAGGAACGCAGAGACAGGUGCUGCAUGGCUGUCGUCAGCUCGUGUUGUGAGAUGUUGGGUUAAGUCCCGUAACGAGCGCAACCCUUGUUCUUAGUUACCAGCGAGUAAAGUCGGGGACUCUAAGAAGACUGCCGGUGAUGAACCGGAGGAAGGCGGGGACGACGUCAAGUCAUCAUGGCCUUUAUGGGUAGGGCUACACACGUGCUACAAUGGGGCGUACAGAGGGUAGCCAACCAGCGAUGGGGAGCCAAUCUCAGAAAGCGUCUCGUAGUCCGGAUUGGAGUCUGCAACUCGACUCCAUGAAGUUGGAAUCGCUAGUAAUCGCGAAUCAGCAUUGUCGCGGUGAAUACGUUCCCGGGCCUUGUACACACCGGUAUCUC
Molecule: ribosomal RNA, 443 nt
Filed under: uncultured bacterium
Lineage: Bacteria
Description: bacterial SSU rRNA
Rfam family: Bacterial small subunit ribosomal RNA
Source: RNAcentral